RNAcentral lists this long non-coding RNA (1974 nucleotides) under Gallus gallus (chicken). Its description in RNAcentral is "lncRNA (ENSGALG00010019415.1)". Lineage: Eukaryota; Metazoa; Chordata; Aves; Galliformes; Phasianidae. The record is from RNAcentral.
CUGCCUUCAGAGGACUGCUUGGAUGAUCAGGUCAUUGGUUGACCUGGAGAGGAGCGCUCUGGCUUUGUGAGAGUUCGCCUUCUCCAUCCCCUCACCUCUUUAGUCUUUAGCUUGUUUUGCAUUUGCUUUUAUUUUUCCAAAGACUGGGAUGUGAAAUGCUGGGGGUAAAACAGUGCAUCGGGUGUAGAGCAAAAUGUGCUGUGCUCAUGGCACAGGUCGGGAGGAGGCUGUGGGGUGCGGGAUGCUCCUCCCCAGGGGAUGCUCAGGAGAGAGGCGUAAAUGAGGAUCCCUUUUUUCCCCAGUCUUGGGAGGGGUGGGCAGAGCUGGACAGGAUGUGUGACUGGAACAGUUUGCUACAGGUUCAGUAACAAAAUACGACCAGAGACAGAAAGGAAGCAGACAAGGAAUUACAACUUGGAACACGUCUGUAUGAAAGAUUAAUCUGGAUUAUCUGUUCAGUUUGAUUUACUCAAUUUCACUCCCAAAGUAAAUUAUCCUAUAUCAUGUUAAAACCACUUAUAUCUUAAUGAAAACAUCCGCAUCGUGUUUUAAUGCAAUUGAAGUAAUCUGCUUUUAAUUCACACCAUAAGCAAUUGGAAUUAAUUUCCCUCUGUGCUCCUGUGUAGACAAACCCUGAAAGGCACCACCACAUCCUUCUGGCACAGCGCCUCUGUGCGAUGCCACUCAUACAGUUUGCCUUGUGCAGGGUGCUGUGUGAGGCCAGAUCUAACCCGUAAUGUUUUUACAUCUUCAUUCACUAAUACACAAACACUGCAGUCAUUCAUCUAACACGGAUGUAUUUAGCACUGCUAACAGCCUCUGCCCAUGAAAUUCCUCAGAACAAGAAGCUUACACAAGGCAUGGAUAAGUUGCAUUUUACUGACGUGAACUGCUUGCACUCUAAGCUUGCUGUGGUCAUCCCUCCAGAAGCCAAGUGAAGGAGAAACACAACAUUCUGAAAGCACACUGGUGCAAUGUAAUGCUGUUGUUUUGCUGUACACAGCAACAACCUGGCUGAAACAGAUUGCAUCUGCUGCUGGUUUGCUUGUAACUCGAAUGAGUGAAGCUGGUAGCCCUCUCUUGUCCUUUAUUCUCUCCUGUGUAAGAUCUGUAGUACUUUCAUUCAGGCAGGUGAGGUAUCCAAGCAAGAAGCAUGGUGUGUGUGUGCUGGUCUGCUGAUGCUGGUGUUGAAUGCUUGGGAAUGUACCUGCCUGUUCAAAAAGGUCUGUAUCCCACAGGAAAAGCACUGUCCAGAGACACAGACUUGUGCCUUCAAUGACUGCCCUUUGUUCUGUGUCGGAUUUGAAUUUCUCAGGUGGUACAGAAAAAUCAGAAAGAUCACAUUGCUUUCAAAGUUCUGCUUUUAUUUUUUUCCUUGGGUGAAUUCAUAGAUCAUCUUUUACAGCCAUGUAUGUGUCUGUGUGUAUAUAUGUGCGUGUACAUAUAUAUAUAUAUGUACAUAUACAUAUAUAUAUAUAUAAGUCAACCAGACUUGGAGAGCAUUUAGCAAUAAGUUGAAUUUCAGUAGCUUCUAGCACAUGUGUGAAUAGCUCAUUGGCCACAGCAUCCUCCAGCUUGUUGUACCACACAAAGGUGUUCUCUUUGCAUAGGAGCCUUCACGUCUUACCUCUGCCAGUUCUGUUGUAUGGGCGAAAAGGGCACCCGCUCCAUUUGGAUGUAAAUAACAAGAACUGAACUGAGAAUUUACAGAGUUUUUAUAAAUGUUUUUAAAAUAAUUCAGCACUGGGACUGUAAAUAUGUCGAGUGUUGCUACUCAGCUGGACCCAUUCUGAUGGAUGUUCCUUCUCCAGAUAACCAGACAAGGGGACUGCCUUAUAGCCUGCGUUAUCUCCCCGCCAGGGGCUGAUAACAUAUUUGGGAAUGAUCAAACACUGUCUCUUACCCAACUUCCUUUGGGUCAUUCACAUCAGGGUUUUGUGAUGCUGCUAUUAAUUUAUUAAAGAAAGAUUGUUG